UCCGGUGACCAUGGCGGAGGGGAAACACCCGUUCCCAUUCCGAAUACGGCAGUUAAGCCCUCCAGCGCCGAUGGUACUGCCCCCACGACGGGGCGGGAGAGUAGGACGUUGCCGGGG
Molecule: ribosomal RNA, 117 nt
Filed under: Pseudomonadota bacterium
Lineage: Bacteria; Pseudomonadati; Pseudomonadota
Also listed under: 1 other name
Source: RNAcentral